RNAcentral lists this long non-coding RNA (343 nucleotides) under Nicotiana benthamiana. Its description in RNAcentral is "long non-coding RNA (NBEN_LNC002008)". Lineage: Eukaryota; Viridiplantae; Streptophyta; Magnoliopsida; Solanales; Solanaceae. The record is from RNAcentral.
GAGUGGAUGAUGGGGCCCAAUGAGCACCCACACUCCAAUUAUAACCCCAAAUCUUUGCCUAUAAAUAAGGCCUUGUACUUUCUAAAAACAUAAGCAAUUUUCCAAUCUUGUAUAAGAAAAACUUUCUUUCAAAAAACUCUCUCCCAUAUAUUCUCUCAUAUAUUCUCUCUCAAUUUACAUACUUAAAUAUCUAGCAUCAACUAAGAAAAUAAUGGAGCAAAAUAAGGUACGUAAAUUUAUGGCAAGCUAAAUUUUCUGUGGCAAGAUUUUAGGAAAGUAUUAAUAAUGCUAAAAUGAUAAUGAUCCUGUGAACACCGGGAGUUCAGUGUAACAUUAGUUUAAA